RNAcentral lists this long non-coding RNA (233 nucleotides) under Pongo abelii (Sumatran orangutan). RNAcentral's name for it is "lncRNA (ENSPPYG00000039567.1)". Lineage: Eukaryota; Metazoa; Chordata; Mammalia; Primates; Hominidae. The record is from RNAcentral.
UGAAGUGGAUAGAUACUUCUCAAGACAUCACACAGCGUGAGUCAAUCAAGGAGGGAAGCCACAAGCAGACUGACAAUGUUUCUAGCAGGAUCAGGUGAGCUGUGUCCAGAAAACCAACGAGAAGGAGUGGAAGGAGGAAUGAACGUUUCGUUCUCGUUAAUAAAGGCAUUAUCCUAAUUAUCCUUUGGUUUUGUUUUUGCUUUUUUAGUAUUCAUUUAUUUUCUAGAAUUUUC